CGCGUAGGCGGUGCGGUAAGUCACCUGUGAAACCUCCGGGCUCAACUCGGAGCCUGCAGGCGAAACUGCCGUGCUGGAGUGUGGGAGGGGUGCGUGGAAUUCCCGGUGUAGCAGUGAAAUGCGUAGAGAUCGGGAGGAACACCUGUGGCGAAAGCGGCGCACUGGACCACAACUGACGCUGAGGCGCGAAAGCUAGGGGAGCAAACAGGAUUAGAUACCCUGGUAGUCCUAGCCCUAAACGAUGGAUGCUUGGUGUAGCCGGUACCCAAUCCGGCUGUGCCGCAGCUAACGCGAUAAGCAUCCCGCCUGGGGAGUACGGUCGCAAAGCUGAA
RNAcentral lists this ribosomal RNA (332 nucleotides) under uncultured bacterium. RNAcentral describes it as "bacterial SSU rRNA". It matches the Rfam family "Bacterial small subunit ribosomal RNA", at positions 568 to 898 of the family's 1533-position model. The record is from RNAcentral.